Molecule: ribosomal RNA, 401 nt
Filed under: uncultured bacterium
Lineage: Bacteria
Description: bacterial SSU rRNA
Rfam family: Bacterial small subunit ribosomal RNA
Source: RNAcentral
GGCCGUUCGGGUUAGUAAAGCUACUUUCAGUAGGGAGGAAGGUAGUGUAGUUAACACCUGCACUUAUUUGACGUUACCUACAGAAAGAAGCACCGGACUAACUCCGUGCCAGCAGCCGCGGUAAUACGGGAGGGUGCGAGCGUUAAGUCGGUAAAUUACGUGGGACGUAAAGCGCAUGCAGGCGGCCUAGUUAAGUCAGAUGUAGAAGCCCGGGGCUUAACCUCGGAAUUGCAUUUGAAACUGGCAGGCUAGAGUCUUGUAGAGGGGGUAGAAUUUCAGGUGUAGCGGUGAAAAUGCGUAGAGAUCUGAAGGAAUACCAGUGGCGAAGGCGGCCCCCUGGACAAAGACUGACGCUCAGAUGCGAAAGCGUGGGGAGCAAACAGGAUUAGAUACCCUGGUAG